RNAcentral lists this ribosomal RNA (381 nucleotides) under uncultured eukaryote. RNAcentral describes it as "partial 18S ribosomal RNA". It matches the Rfam family "Eukaryotic small subunit ribosomal RNA", at positions 592 to 976 of the family's 1831-position model. The record is from RNAcentral.
CAAUAGCGUAUAUUAAAGUUGUUGCGGUAAAAAAGCUCGUAGUUGGAUUUCUACCGAAGAUAGCCGGUCGGGUCUUCGACCUUGUAUCUGGUUUUGUCUUUGGUAUCCUCAUAGGGAACGUUUCUGCGCUUUAUUGCGUGGUGCGGUAUCUAUGACUUUUACUUUGAGGAAAUUAGAGUGUUCACGGCAGGCAAACGCCUUGAAUAUAUUAGCAUGGAAUAAUAACAUAAGAUCUUCGUCCUAUUUUGUUGGUUUCUAGGGCUAAGAUAAUGAUUAAUAGGGAUAAUUGGGGGCAUCUGUAUCAACGCGUCAGAGGUGGAAUUCUUGGAUUGCGUUGCGACAAACUACUGCGAAAGCAUUUGCCAAGGAUGUUUUCAUUGA